RNAcentral lists this ribosomal RNA (117 nucleotides) under Pteropus alecto (black flying fox). Lineage: Eukaryota; Metazoa; Chordata; Mammalia; Chiroptera; Pteropodidae. The record is from RNAcentral.
GUCUACGGCCAUGCCACCCUGAACCAGCCCAAUUUCAUCUGAUCUCAGAAGCCAAGCAGGGUCAGGCCUGAUUAGUACUUGGAUGGGACCACCUAGGAAGACCAGGUGCCAUAGGAG